Molecule: long non-coding RNA, 971 nt
Organism: Paramormyrops kingsleyae
Lineage: Eukaryota; Metazoa; Chordata; Actinopteri; Osteoglossiformes; Mormyridae
Source: RefSeq, a predicted model, not a curated record
CAUCAGCUGUUUCCUGGCUCACUGUUUUUUCAGCCUGGUGGAUUGUGCGUGUGUUGGGGGGGGGGGGAUAGACACGGUCAGUGGUGUCAGCCCUUCUGCCCCCCCACCCCCAGGCACUUCCGCCAUGCUUCAACUACUGCAAGUGCCACUGAGAGGACAGGCCGUCGGACCCCGGGCCCAAAUGCCAAGAAGCUCCGCACUGAAAGUGCAGCAGUGCCGCUACUCAUGUCAAACAUGCAGAAAGCCCAGAGGAAGCUCUGAGGAAGCCGAGAAGGUCCACAGAGGAACCGCAGAGGAACACAAACAAAGCUGGAGAGGGAAGUGAAGGUGUGUAGGGUAUGACUGUUUGGACAUACCAUCUCAGCUUGAACCUACUGAGAGACACAACUAGGCCCGCUGCCACAAAACUGGAGACACAGCCCCAAACUCCACACCCCCCAGGCCCUCACUGGGGGUCUUAUUUCACCAUUGGCAUUAAGGGGACGUGCCUUGGAUUGUCCAGCCAUCUGAGUUUCAUACACGCCUCGGCGAUUGGAGGGGGGAGGGGGGGCAGUGGGAUUUGCGUAAGUGACAGCCAGGAAUGUCGUCCCCGCCAGGGCGACCUGUAUCUGUCACGGGCACAUUAGCCACUGACGCACAAACUCACGGCUCAAUGGCGCUGAAGGAAGAUCUCGUACUUGCAUCGCCCACCCUGGUCUGUUGUCGCGACCCGAUUUCCCAGAUUCCUCAGCCUGAAACAACCCAACGGACCCAGACAGAAAAAUAAAUCAUGAGAUCCACUGCCAAACACUGAAUAACACUGGACAACAAAAAAAAACAUCCAGAAGCCAUGAAACUCUCCAGGCACUACAUACAGUGGGCUUAGGACAGGGGUUUGGCUUCAGGACACAUGGUCAUUAAGUCACGACCCAAAAAUGGAGUCAGGGGGGUGGGGUGUGUUGCAAUGGAUUGCAAUAAAAACUGUUGACUGA